AAAAAGUUUUAUUUUAGUUUAAAUAAUAAAUAAAUAAUUUUUUUACAUGUAAAUUGAAGUGUUAAUUAUUAUAAUUUUUUUUAGAUUAUAAAUUUUAAUAAUAUUCACAGUAUUUAAUUUUAAAUAUUAAGGAGACUUAGAUUUAGAAAUUUAAUUUAAUAUUAACAUAAUUUGUGCCAGCAGUUGCGGUUAUACAAAUAAUAUAAUUUAUUAUUAUUAAUUUAUAGUUAGUUGAUUAAAUGGAAGAAUUAAUAUUAUGAUUUAUUAAGUGAAAUUUUAAAUUAUAAGAAAAUUUUAUUUUAGAUUAUAAAGCUAUUAAAUUUUAUAUAAAACUAGGAUUAGAUACCCUAUUAUAAAAGUGUAAAUUUUUAAAAUUAAAUUAUUAAUAGUUAUAGUCUUUAAAGUUAAAAAAUUUGGCGGUAUUUUAAUCUAUUCAGAGGAACCUGUUCUGUAAUUGAUAAUCCACGAUUAAAAUGACUUAAUUUAAAAAUUUGUAUAUCGUCGUAGUUGAAUAUUUUAAUAGAAUAAUAAUAUUCAUAAUGUUAAUUUUAAAUAUAAAUCAGAUCAAGAUGCAGUUUAUAAUUAAGAAGUAAUGGGUUACAAAAAUCAAAAAUUUCUGGAUUUAAUUUUUAAAAAGUUAAUGAAAUUGGAUUUGAUAGUAAUUAAAUUAAUCUUGAUUUAAUGAUUUUAGCUCUAAAAUAUGCACAUAUCGCCCGUCGCUCUCAUUUAAAUUGAGAUAAGUCGUAACAUAGUAAAUGUACUGGAAAGUGUAUUUAGUUUG
Molecule: non-coding RNA, 781 nt
Filed under: Staphylinidae sp. BMNH 1274234
Lineage: Eukaryota; Metazoa; Arthropoda; Insecta; Coleoptera; Staphylinidae
Source: RNAcentral